CAAACUGUAUAAUAAAAUAUAUAAUAAAAAUGUCGAAUUUAGAUACGACGGAUAGUGAUGAUGAUCCGGUAGUUAAAGAGAUUCCAGUAUUUUUAUCCAAAACUCUUGAAAAUAAAUUAUUCAUCUUUCAAUAUCCUACACGUCCUGCUGAUCAAGGAUAUGAUGAUGCAACAUUUUUAAAUUCUUCUAUAAAACCAGAAAAUACAGAAGUCAAAUUAGAAAUAGCUUACGAUACAUAUAGUCCUACUUAUGAUAAAAUGAAAGGAAGACAAAUUGCUAUUAAUGCUGAUGGUAAUUCUAAUUUUGAUCAAGAAGACGACAACAAAAUUUUUGACAGCGAUCUAAUGGAUAAGAUGACUUUGCAUUCUACCCGUACAUUACCAGAGGCCACAAAUUAUGCAGCUGCUGUAUACCAAGAUGGUGAACUACAUAUAACUCCAAUUAAAAGUAUUGUUCAAUUAAGACCACAAUUUAAUUAUCUUGAUAAGAGUGAUAAACGUGCUAGAGAAGAAACUAAAGCUAAUGAUGAAGAUACUGAAGAAGAAGAUGAAGGACCUAAACAAGUUAGUGUAACAUUUGACAGACAAAAAACAGAUUUUGUUAAAAAGAUGCAGGAACAAUCUUUUCAAACGUUUACAAAAAUGAGUUCAGCAGAAAAAUGGAUACACACGAAAUAUGUUCCGGUCAAUAGUACACAAGCCGAUCUUACACGUUUGGAAAUGUUUUGUCCAUCGACCGAAGAAAGUAUCAAUUCAUUGGAUCUUACAAAUAAACAAUAUUUACAAUUUUUAGUGCCAUCUAAUAAUUCAGAACAAAGUGUCCAAAAUCGUUCCCUGUCUCUUGAUUAUAUUACAACAUUACCGCUUCCUGAUCAAGUCAAGAUUCAUGUUAGACAUAUAAAAGUGUUGUCGUUCGCAACGUUACGAUUGCUCAUAUUACCAGAACACGAUAAUGCAUCUAUAUUAAAAUAUUUGCAACAGAUAGCUAUGCUAGUGCAAGGAAACUGGAUUGUAAAUAGUGAUCUUAUUUAUAUUAAAGAAAGUGAAUCGUCUAUAAAUGGUAUACCAGCAGAUCUCAUGUGUAAGGCUAGAGAUUAUAUCUUAUUAUUGUUCACCGAACAAGAAUAUAUUGAUCGAAAGACUGUAUCAAACACCAUUAAAAUUCCUUUCCUGGAAAUAAACGAGAUAUUUUCAGACAUAGCUGUACAGAUACCAAAAAAGGGAUGGCGUUUACCAAUAUCACCAAAUACGGAUUUUCAAAAAAAAUAUCCAGAGAUAGUACAAAGGCAAGAAAUGUUGUGGGAGAUGAAACGAAAAAAAAUGCAUGAGUCAUUAUUGUCGCAAAAUCAAGUACCACAACGUCAAAGAAGAAGAUCUAAUAGAGAAUCGAUUGGUUCGGAGAAUGAAGAGAGAAACGUAGGUCGUGGAAAAAAGUUAAAAGAUUCAUCGUUUUCUGAAGACAUUGCGACAGAAACGGUUAAACAUAAGAAAGUGAAUAGAUCUAAAAAAGUAUCUGAAACUACAUGACCAAAAGCAUCGAAUGAUUAGGACAUAAAUAUAAAUGUAUAAUAGCAUUUAUUAUACAUUUAUCUACUACUAUAGUAAAGUAUAUAUUCUAGGUACUGUUAUUACAUCUACAAUAAUGAAUGAAUGAGAUCACAUUUAUACAAUUAUUGUGAUAUGUUUUUGUUUAACACACUGCCGUACCUCCAGUGCCAGUGGGCCUUCUCCGUGGUGUACUGGUUGUCCUUCUUGACAUUAAUUCAAGAAUUACAAUGUAAAUUCUCAAGACUAACCAGUUGAGCAGCACUUAGUGGGCCUAAGUUUCAUCAUGGACUACUGUCAUGUGUUAAGAAAGAAAACAAAAUAUAGAAAAAAAAAAAAAGAAAAAACUGCAGUGCGGUAAAUACAUUAGGAAAAAUAUUCAAAUCGCAUCAUUGAUACGACAAAUUGAGAAGUUGUUCAUUAGCGAGAUUCGUUAUGUUGAUGAAAAAAAA
Molecule: unclassified non-coding RNA, 1996 nt
Filed under: Polistes dominula (European paper wasp)
Lineage: Eukaryota; Metazoa; Arthropoda; Insecta; Hymenoptera; Vespidae
Description: dNA-directed RNA polymerase III subunit RPC5, transcript variant X1
Source: RNAcentral